Molecule: small RNA, 134 nt
Filed under: Pedobacter suwonensis
Lineage: Bacteria; Pseudomonadati; Bacteroidota; Sphingobacteriia; Sphingobacteriales; Sphingobacteriaceae
Description: Flavo-1 RNA
Rfam family: Flavo-1 RNA
Source: RNAcentral
UGCUAAACCUGACAGCAGCGAAAAUCCUUUUUGUUGGCACUUAUCGUGAAAGAUUGCUUCGUCGUUCCUUCUCGCAAUGACGACAAAGAAGAGCAAACACCACAAAAAGAUUGAAGCGAAUGGCAGGGCUGCAG